RNAcentral lists this unclassified non-coding RNA (3216 nucleotides) under Hevea brasiliensis (rubber tree). Lineage: Eukaryota; Viridiplantae; Streptophyta; Magnoliopsida; Malpighiales; Euphorbiaceae. The record is from RNAcentral.
AAGAUUACAAACACUACACGUAUUGCUUAAUCUUUCUUUUUUUUUUUAAUUACAUCUUUAUAAUGAAACUUCACCCCAAAAAUUGAAGCCAGUGCGGUUCAAACCACUCGAGACAUCCAACAACUCAUCGAUAAAGAUACAACAAUCCCCCUUCGUUCUCUCCCAACCAAUAGAAAAGAUUCUCCUAAAAAAUUGGAGAAUGAUUUAAAUAAUACACCAUGAAAAAUGAAUGUAACAGCAAGUAUACCUUCAAGUAACUCGCACGACUCGUGACUAACAGAUGAACCCUAAGCAAGAAUCCACGUUUGUAUUGCUCUCCACUAUGAUACAGUAACCAAAUUCAAUUCAUGCGGCCUCAAUGCUCCUUGUACAAUCUCUUGCACCGUCCGGUUUCGCCGACAAACAUCAGAAAGCUCUUCAACAGGAACCAUCAGUGAAUUGAUAUCAUUCCCAGAUGCUGCAUCUGACAAUGCUUGAAAAAAUCUAGCACGCUCCACUUCUGUGACAGCUGUCAGUGGAAUUAGUGAAACACUCUCCUUGGCCCACUCCACUGCAUUCGCUCCAUAGGCACGAGUUAGUGCCAGUAAAGCAUACAUGACCGUUUCCAAUCGAGAACUAGGGAGCGCUCCUGUUAAUGAUGCAACCAAAAUUCUGGUAAUGCUGGCACCUCGGGGAAUAAUAACACUAUCUCUGAUGGAUAAGUACUGUUCCCCCCCACUAGACUUUGCAAUAUCAAAGAUGUCAGACAAGAAGGUCAGUAUGGACUUGGAAGCCUCCCUGUGCUGUACAGUGAUACCAAUCAUAGAGCAAUCUACUAACAUCGGAAAUACAGUAGAUGGAAUAAAAAGUUGAGGACAAUAACGAAUGCAUCUUGAUGCCAAUAAAAAACAAUCAUCUGCUAUGUCUGGUCUGGCAGUGAAGUCCUUGAUAUUUGUGAGAAGACAUAUUGUACGCUUGAAAAGAGCUUCAAUCAAAAUUUUCAAGUAAUAUGCACAAGACAGAUCAGAACCAAAUAUCUUUAUAACUUCACUAGAGAGAUAAAGGAAGCAAGGCUGAUGGUGCUGUUGAUACAGGGCUUGGAUCUCUUCUAGCAUUGCUCCAAUGGUGAUUCCCAUGAACCUCCCAGAAGUUCUCACAGCAUAUUUACAAGCUCGACAAAGAGACUCCAUUGUCCGCAUGUCCCAAGCACGAAGGUCAAAGAUUGCUUUAAAGAGCGGCCAUAGCCUUUGAAUUGCAUCUGCCACAGCUUCUGGGUGAUUUACAUAUCUAAAGAUGUAAGCAAGUCGAUCAAUAUGAACGGUUAACUCACGAGCAGGCCUCUUCUCCAAUAUUUCUGGACCUUGAUUGAUAACUCCCUGUAGAGAAGUAACAACAGGCAAGCAUAGUUUCUCCAAAGCCUGCUUGGCCUGGUCUGGAGGAAGUUCUGUAAUGACCAUGCUUAAGGCUUCAACCACAUGCAAAGAAUCAUCAGCAGAAAUUCUAAAACUACCUUCCCCGAUUACUGCCCUAUGGUAUAUGGGGAAGAGAUCAUCAAAAUAUCCACAAAGCUUUCUCCGGCAAUCAUUGCAGAUGUGUCUGAAUGCCACAGCUGCAGCAGCUGCAGAAUCUUCCGAGGUCCCCAUGCCAUCCAUGAGAAUUUUCAUGACUGAAGAUAAUAAAGGCAAUCCAUCCGAUGCAGCAUCAAGCCACUUUGAAUAUGCUCCAAUUGUUAAGCAAACUGUCUGAAGCAGUUGGGGCUGAUGUGGAAGCUCUAGCAGCAAAGACAUAACCUUAGGCAUUACUUCAGCUUCAACAACUGAAACAUAAUUUGAUAUAGCCUUGAUGCAAAAUAAAGCAGCUUCUGCUAGACGCCACUCACUAUGUCCAUUUCCCCAGCAAGCUUGAGCCUCAGCAAGUUUCACAUAAAGAAUUUUCAAAGUUGCAUCACCACCUAAAACUGAUGCUGCAUCAAUUAACACGUCCGCAACAGCAUAUCUAGUCUGUUUAAAAUCCUUGAGGUCUUCAAUUGAAAGAUUUUGAUAAUCUUGGGGAUACUGAACUCGAAAGCUAACCAGGGACACAAGUGACUCAUAGGCUGACCGAAAAACUAGCAGCCUCCUCCUCCUCUCAGCUUCAAUGGACACUUCAUCACCAAAUGAAAUAUAUGAAUCCCUCUUAAUCAAGAUAACUUGAAGACUGUGCCAAAAAUUAAAUGUCAUGGAAGCAAUGUCAUAUUCUGGAUGCGAAGCAACUUCCAAUAAUGCAUUUACUAUCAUCAUUGAUUCAUCAGAUCCAGUUGCGAUCAGCUCAACAUAUGAGUCACCCAUGUCAGCAAAUAAUCGAGCAAUGGCUUUCACAUCUUCUUCAUCCAUUGAUGGAUCCCGAAGUUGCUCCUUAAGACUCAUAACUUGAGGCACAAGUACUUGAAUUAAAGGCAUCUGAACAGGAAUACCACCAGAGUUUCCUGAUGUUGUGUAGUGUAUCAAUUCAGAAACAACAUUUACAGCUGCCUCUGAAAGUAGCUCAGAAUUCAAGCUUGAGAGAGCUGUAAGAACUAAUGGGUGAGAAGCAAGCACAGAUCCAGGGAUCCCAUGCCUUAGUCGGAGCCAAGAAGCAAAUGCCUCAAGAACCUGCUCCUUAAGUUCAUUAAUUUUCAAGCAAGCUGUCAAAAUAUUAAGAGCCAACUCCAUUUGAGAAGUCAACUCCUUUUCAAAUUGGCGGCGCCUUUCUGGACGAGCAGCUAUCUUAUAGUUGAAUACUUCCUCAGGCAAAACUGUAAGUAGCUCCAAGAAUCCUGGUAUAUAUUCUGGAUGAGAAUUCAUCUCAUCCCUAAGCCAAUUCACUAUGCCACCAUCACCCCAAACCUCUGCAGGAACUUGCACAGCCAAUGCAGCAACUGCAAUGCUAAUCUGAGUCCUGACUUUAGGGGGGCCCCUAUGAAAUUUUUUCAGCAAAGUAUUUAAGGAACUUCGUAAUGGUCUAAAGGCUUCAGAAGGCAGUUCUUCAAAAUCUCUUUGUACCUUGCUUCUAAGGGUUUGAGAACAAAAGAUUAAGGUUUCCAGAUUGCUAGUGGGAUCAUGAAGCAAAUUAUCAGCAACCUGCCAGGCAUCGAUGGAGCGUUGAAUGUCUUGUAGAUAUUCAUCUGCUUUCGAACGAACCUCAUCUUGCGGAUGAUGAUACAGUGCGUUUAGGGCUUCUUUCACCGCAUUUUGAUGAUCCAUAGCUUCGAUUAAAAAA